AACACAUUAAUGUUAAUACAUAUUUUGAUUCUUACAGCUCUAGUAAAUAACUUAUUCUGAUUGUAAUUAUUUAUUUCAAUUCUUACUCAUUCCAAAUUGAAUCUAUUUCAAUUGCAGCUCAUUUUUAUUUUCAUUUAGUAAAUGCACGAUUAUUGUAGAUGGGACGGAUAUUUCUUUAUCCUUUAUAAUUAGAGCGAUAUUUCAAAUAAUAGAUGAAUAAUAAUAAUAAUAAUGCUGUGAAAGUGAGCUAAGUAGCGAAAGGAAGAGGCCACACUGGGGAGGUGGCGCACGUCCGAUUGGCCCACAAUAAUAAAUACGAAAAACAAUGAAAGAUGUAACACCUGGCUGUCUAAUUUUUGCAAGAUUAGAAUAUGGCGUGAAGGGUAUCUGAGUCCGCGUCUCACUCCUCCGGUCUUCCCUUCUUUUGUCACGCGAAAAAGCAAAAGGGGUUAGUGUGCAGAUGAGCAAGUGAACUGGGCAGUGUAACGUGAAGAGAGGGCGAGGAGAAGCCUUAAAGGCUUAAAUCAUUAUAGAAACCAACAAAGAUGAAAGCAAGACGGACUUUGCUAGCUUACAGAAUCUGUAAGUUACAGACUGCACCAUCAGCCGUUGGAUGCGGAGUGAGAAAUUAAACAAUAAAAAAUUGGAUGGUGGGAUGGUGGGAGAGGUUAGUUACAGAAGCUGCACCAUAGACAGGUUCAAGAAAGACACGUGAAGCGGAUUUGGUCAUCAUGUAAUAAUGCACCAACGCCAAUGUACAGAUGCAGGUUACAUCAUACAGUGGCAUGGAUACCCUCUGACACAGCGUUUCACUAUCAAUCUUAGUUAGUCUUAAGUUUCACUCCACACGUCGCUCGCCGCCGGCUAGGCCUGCCACAAGGCGCCUACCUACGGUUUAGGUUUUAGUUAGGGAUGGCUAUUAUUUUUUUGUUAAAAGAUUACUUAUAUUUGCUUUACAUUGGUUUAAUUUAAUUUGUUGAUCAUAUAUUUAAUUAUAUUUCUUUUUCAUUUUAUUUUUAAAUUGAUAUCAUUUGCAGUAAUACCUAUUUAGAUAUCACUUUUAAAAAUAAAUA
RNAcentral lists this long non-coding RNA (1073 nucleotides) under Citrus x clementina. RNAcentral describes it as "Citrus clementina (C. clementina) long non-coding RNA (CCLE_LNC005748)". Lineage: Eukaryota; Viridiplantae; Streptophyta; Magnoliopsida; Sapindales; Rutaceae. The record is from RNAcentral.